Molecule: transfer RNA, 77 nt
Filed under: uncultured Cytophagales bacterium
Lineage: Bacteria; Pseudomonadati; Bacteroidota; Sphingobacteriia; Sphingobacteriales
Description: tRNA-Ala-GGC
Rfam family: tRNA
About the family: Transfer RNA (tRNA) molecules are approximately 80 nucleotides in length. Their secondary structure includes four short double-helical elements and three loops (D, anti-codon, and T loops).
Source: RNAcentral
GGGGAUGUAGCUCAGUUGGCUAGAGCGCUUGCAUGGCAUGCAAGAGGUCGUGGGUUCGAGUCCCAUCUUCUCCACCU